GAGCGCGUAGCUCAGCAGGUAGAGCAACUGACUUUUAAUCAGUAGGUCCACGGUUCGAACCCGUGCGCGCUCACCA
This 76-nucleotide transfer RNA is filed under the name Paenochrobactrum glaciei. RNAcentral's name for it is "tRNA-Lys". It matches the Rfam family "tRNA". Rfam says of the family: Transfer RNA (tRNA) molecules are approximately 80 nucleotides in length. Their secondary structure includes four short double-helical elements and three loops (D, anti-codon, and T loops). RNAcentral also lists the same sequence under 3 other names. The record is from RNAcentral. Lineage: Bacteria; Pseudomonadati; Pseudomonadota; Alphaproteobacteria; Hyphomicrobiales; Brucellaceae.